RNAcentral lists this long non-coding RNA (839 nucleotides) under Brassica napus (rape). Its description in RNAcentral is "long non-coding RNA (BNAP_LNC012933)". Lineage: Eukaryota; Viridiplantae; Streptophyta; Magnoliopsida; Brassicales; Brassicaceae. The record is from RNAcentral.
UCAUAACUGCUCUUAAGUCCUUUGGAUAAGAGCGUCUUUAGUCUUUACUGUCGUCUCCCAUUGGAUUUUCCAUUUUGUUUAGUGACAACAUAACCCCUUUUUUUGGUCGAACAACUAGUUUGAUUUAAUCAUAAAGCGUGCGUUACACUCCUGAUGAGUUUCAUCAACAAAUUCAAAGACAAUAAUCUGCCUGAUCCUUUGAUCAGAGACUUUACUCGUAUGCUUCUCCAAGGCUUAGCCACUAUCCACGCACACGGUUACGUUCACUGCAACCUCAAACCGGAGAACAUCCUCGUUUUCCCUAGCCACAUCAACCAACGACAACGGCACGUGCAGACCUUAUUUCGAGUUGAAGAUUUCGGAUUUCGGGUUGUCGAAAAAGGGAGGAGACAGUAGCUGGUGGGAACCUAGUCGUCCGUUUGCGGAACAUCGAUCUACAUGUCUCCGAACUCGGUUUCUUAUGGAGAGACAGGGAAAGAUCUCGACUUGUGGUCGUUGGGGUGUUGUGUACUGGGAAGGGACCUUGGUGGCAUAAGAACUAUGAAGUGAGUGAUCUCAAGAAGGGGCAAGAGCCACUGAUUCCGAGUUACCUUCCUUUGGAAGAAAAACUCUUUAUCAUGACUUGCUUUUGGCGGAGAACAACAGACGCGACAAGAUUGUUAAAGCAUAUAUAUGCAUGCGUGGAGACGAGCGGACACAGCCUUCUCCUGUGACUGUGAGUGAUAAUAUUAAGGCUAAAAUAGCUCUUCAACUGGAAAACUUUGUUAGAAGGAAUUUUUCUAAAACCCAAAGCAUUCGUGUACCUGCUGCUGCUCAACUCAUGCCCAACAAGACCAUCA